GUUUAAAUAGCUUAUAAUUUUAGAGUUUAAUAUUGAAGCUAUUAAGGAAAUAUAUUUUAUUUUUAAAUG
Molecule: transfer RNA, 69 nt
Filed under: Bradysia impatiens
Lineage: Eukaryota; Metazoa; Arthropoda; Insecta; Diptera; Sciaridae
Description: tRNA-Phe
Source: RNAcentral